GAUGAACGCUGGCGGCGCGCCUAACACAUGCAAGUCGAACGAUUAAAGCACCUUCGGGUGUGUAUAAAGUGGCGAACGGCUGAGUAACACGUGGGCAACCUGCCCCUUUCAUUGGGAUAGCCACGGGAAACCGUGGAUAAUACCGAAUACUUCGAGACUUCCGCAUGGAAGACUCGAGAAAGCUCCGGCGGAGAGGGAUGGGCCCGCGGCCUGUUAGCUUGUUGGUGGGGUAACGGCCUACCAAGGCAAUGAUGGGUAGCUGGGUUGAGAGGCCGACCAGCCAGAUUGGGACUGAGACACGGCCCAGACUCCUACGGGAGGCAGCAGUGGGGAAUCUUGCACAAUGGGCGAAAGCCUGAUGCAGCGACGCCGCGUGCGGGAUGAAGGCCUUCGGGUUGUAAACCGCUUUCAGCAGGGACGAGGCGAAAGUGACGGUACCUGCAGAAGAAGCCCCGGCUAACUACGUG
RNAcentral lists this ribosomal RNA (467 nucleotides) under uncultured bacterium. Its description in RNAcentral is "partial 16S ribosomal RNA". It matches the Rfam family "Bacterial small subunit ribosomal RNA", at positions 28 to 507 of the family's 1533-position model. The record is from RNAcentral.